CUGAUCUUGCCUCAUUGAAACACAAAAAUAUUCCUAGAAGACAUAUUAUCCACAACAGGCUUUUCCCCCUCAUCUCGUGAUAUGUCAAUUAAUAAUUGAAUUUUCUCUGUCUUGUUUAUUAAAUUGAAUUUUAAUUUUGUGCCAUUCAAGUUUGAUCUUUUUCUAUGAAUACUUUCCUUCAAAAUGAUAAAUUUCUUUGGCAAAACCUUUUCUUUAUUUUGAGUACAUGAACCUUUCUUUAGCAUUUACUUGAAUAUGAAAUACGAUUGUCUUCUUCUUCCUUGGUC
Non-coding RNA from Paramuricea clavata, 287 nucleotides. The record is from the annotation of a GenBank genome assembly. NCBI's taxonomy places the organism in Eukaryota, Metazoa, Cnidaria, Anthozoa, Malacalcyonacea, Plexauridae.